AAGUCGUAACAAGGUUUCCGUAGGUGAACCUGCGGAAGGAUCAUUCAUAAUUGAGUGUUUUAUGGCACUCUUUAAAAAAAUCCAUAUCCACCUUGUGUGCAAUGUUUUUGGACUCUCUGUACGUUGAUAUCCCUUUGGGUCCGAUAGGACUUUAGGGGAAGGAAAACCUUAAGAGGGUUUGAUUAACUUAACACCUUUAAAGCAGUUUGUCUGAAUAUCUAUUUCUGAAUAAACAUAAUUCAAAAAUACAACUUUCAACAACGGAUCUCUUGGCUCUC
This 278-nucleotide unclassified non-coding RNA is filed under the name Mortierella oligospora. RNAcentral's name for it is "partial internal transcribed spacer region". The stretch from base 1 to 46 matches the Rfam family "Eukaryotic small subunit ribosomal RNA", at positions 1786 to 1831 of the family's 1831-position model. The record is from RNAcentral. Lineage: Eukaryota; Fungi; Mortierellomycota; Mortierellomycetes; Mortierellales; Mortierellaceae.